Molecule: ribosomal RNA, 283 nt
Filed under: uncultured Pseudomonas sp.
Lineage: Bacteria; Pseudomonadati; Pseudomonadota; Gammaproteobacteria; Pseudomonadales; Pseudomonadaceae
Description: partial 16S ribosomal RNA
Rfam family: Bacterial small subunit ribosomal RNA
Source: RNAcentral
AACCCUUGUCCUUAGUUACCAGCACGGUUAUGGUGGGCACUCUAAGGAGACUGGCUGGUGCAAACCGGAGGAAGUGGGGAUGACGUCAAGUCAUCAUGGCCCUUACGGCCUGGGCUACACACGUGCUACAAUGGUCGGUACAAAGGGUUGCCAAGCCGCGAGGUGGAGCUAAUCCCAUAAAACCGAUCGUAGUCCGGAUCGCAGUCUGCAACUCGACUGCGUGAAGUCGGAAUCGCUAGUAAUCGUGAAUCAGAAUGUCACGGUGAAUACGUUCCCGGGCCUU